GGACAGGUGGCUGAGUGGUCGAAAGCAGCAGUCUUGAAAACUGCCGAGCGUGCAAGCGUUCCGUGGGUUCGAAUCCCACCUUGUCCGCCA
Molecule: transfer RNA, 90 nt
Filed under: Rickettsiales bacterium
Lineage: Bacteria; Pseudomonadati; Pseudomonadota; Alphaproteobacteria; Rickettsiales
Description: tRNA-Ser
Rfam family: tRNA
About the family: Transfer RNA (tRNA) molecules are approximately 80 nucleotides in length.
Source: RNAcentral